AAAGAGUUUGAUUCUUGCUUUUUUGUUCAUUUUUUGUUUGUUUUAUAUGUAAGUUUUUGCGUGAUUUUUGUUUACUUCUUAAUGGAUGUAAGCUUUUAUUUAUUGUAAUUUUAAUUCUCAUUAUUUUUUAUUAUUGUUCAAAGUUUUUUGUAUUUAGCAAUUCAUUUUAGUUCCGGUUAAAUUUUGUGCCAGCAUCCGCGGUUAUACUUUGGGGGCUUAUGAAUAUGUUUGGAUUUAGGUAGUUGUAUGUUUUUAUUUAUUGAAUUUAUUGGUUUUGUUUUUAGGUGAAAUUUUUAUUUUUUGUAAUUUCUUUUAUUGUUUUGGAUUAUGGCUAUGAAACUUUUUAUUUAGACUAGGAUUAGAUACCCUAUUAUUUUUGAGUGUUAAUUUAUUUUCUUAGGUAGUAUUAGUUAUGUUCUUGAAACCUAAAGAAUUUGGCGGUACCUUAUUCCGAUCAGAGGAAUCUGCCCUGUUAUCGAUAAUCCGCGUUGUACCUUACUUAGUUGUUUAUUGUUUGUAUACCGCCGUAUAUUGAUUAUCAUUUUAGUGUUUUUAAAUUUUCUUGAUUCAUAAUUUUGUUUUAUUUCAGGUCAAGGUGCAGCUUGUGUCUAAGUGUGAGGUGGAUUACAUUGAUUAUUUUGUUUAUUGGAUUAUUUGUUGUUAGAUUUUUAUGAAAUUGGAUUUGAUUGUAAUGUUUUGAUGAAGAUUGUUCUCAUGAUAUUUGGUUCUAAGGUAUGUACACAUCGCCCGUCGCUCUCGUUUAUUGUUAAUGAGAUAAGUCGUAACAAAGUGGUCGUACCGGAAGGUGCGGCUGGAUUGAG
RNAcentral lists this non-coding RNA (821 nucleotides) under Schedorhinotermes sarawakensis. The record is from RNAcentral. Lineage: Eukaryota; Metazoa; Arthropoda; Insecta; Blattodea; Rhinotermitidae.